This 860-nucleotide small RNA is filed under the name Rattus norvegicus (Norway rat). Its description in RNAcentral is "uncharacterized LOC102550272". The record is from RNAcentral. Lineage: Eukaryota; Metazoa; Chordata; Mammalia; Rodentia; Muridae.
UACUGCAAAAUCUGGAAUGAGGGUUGGCGCAGAGCCAGGAUGGGGACUUUCAAAUAGUUAACUCCAAAUUCAUCUGCUAAAGAAGGAUAAGACCACUGAAUAAACAGAAGCAGGUAUAUCUGGUUACCACGGUGCAAAAUGAUUUAUGACCGGUCCUUCAAAUCAACCAGUGGGACCGGAGAAAUGUUUGGAUUGUAUAUGGAUGACUCCUGUUUCCGUUAGAAGUUGUUUCCCAUGUCCAAGUGGUCAUACACAUGAAAGGGUUGGUGACAGUUCCCAAGUAAAACGCAAGACGGAAGGAAGUGAUUUGUCCUGAUCUUUGCGCACGCGCUCUUUAGGAGUCUCAAAAAUGGAGGGCAGAAGACCCAGGGCGCGGUGCCCUAGGCUUCAUUCCAAGGAUCUGACCUGAGUCCUGAGUCUCUGUUAAGUCUGCCGUGGAGAGUAACUCCGACUCCUCGUGUCUCGACUUCCGAACUUCACAGAGCAUCCUCCUCAUGCCUGGCUUCUGAAUCCCUGUGGGCUGAGUAGCCCAACAAUCAGUCAAAGAGAAACAGGGUCAGGCCUGUAACGAAGAGGCCUUUAAAAAAAGACUUACAAAGAGAAAGACACCGUUUAAAUACGUGCAUACUCCAGAGGCCUUGCGAUAGGCACAUGAUCAUGUCAGAGCCAGCUGUGUCGGCGCCUGCUACAAGGACAGAAAUAACCUGGAUGAAGGAAAGCCACAGAGAAUCAAAAAAAAUGCUAAUGAAGAGAAUAAUAAGCAAACGGAAGGUGGAAAGGAAGAAGGCCAGAGAAUCGCAGAAAGAGGCGCAGGCGGCCUCUGAGGAAGCCUUGGAUUAUUCACGAUCUCAACAUAUCUG